RNAcentral lists this ribosomal RNA (506 nucleotides) under uncultured bacterium. Its description in RNAcentral is "bacterial SSU rRNA". It matches the Rfam family "Bacterial small subunit ribosomal RNA", at positions 21 to 518 of the family's 1533-position model. The record is from RNAcentral.
GGCUCAGGAUGAACGCUAGCGGCAGGCUUAACACAUGCAAGUCGAGGGGCAUCGGGAGUAGCAAUACUUGCCGGCGACCGGCGCAAGGGUGCGUAACGCGUGAGCAACAUGCCCGUAUCAGGGGGAUAAUCCAUGGAAACGUGGUCUAAUACCCCAUAGUAAUUAUGUAAGGCAUCUUAUAUAAUUUAAAGCUUUGGUGGAUACGGAUUGGCUCGCGUGACAUUAGCUGGAUGGUAAGGUAACGGCUUACCAUGGCUACGAUGUCUAGGGGUUCUGAGAGGAAGGUCCCCCCACACUGGAACUGAGACACGGUCCAGACUCCUACGGGAGGCAGCAGUGAGGAAUAUUGGACAAUGGAUGGAAAUCUGAUCCAGCCAUGCCACGUGCAGGGAAAAGACGGCCCUAUGGGUUGUAAACUGCUUUUGUAUGGGAGCAAUAAGGGCUACGUGUAGUCCGAUGAGAGUACCAUACGAAUAAGCACCGGCUAACUCCGUGCCAGCCGCAGC